GACGAACGCUGGCGGCGUGCCUAAUACAUGCAAGUCGAGCGCAGGAAAUCGACGGAACCCUUCGGGGGGAAGUCGACGGAAUGAGCGGCGGACGGGUGAGUAACACGUAAAGAACCUGCCCUCAGGUCUGGGAUAACCACGAGAAAUCGGGGCUAAUACCGGAUGGGUCAUCGGACCGCAUGGUCCGAGGAUGACAGGCGCUUCGGCGGCGCCUGGGGAUGGCUUUGCGGUGCAUUAGCUAGUUGGUGGGGUAAUGGCCCACCAAGGCGACGAUGCAUAGCCGACCUGAGAGGGUGAUCGGCCACACUGGGACUGAGACACGGCCCAGACUCCUACGGGAGGCAGCAGUAGGGAAUCUUCCACAAUGGACGAAAGUCUGAUGGAGCAACGCCGCGUGAACGAUGAAGGCCUUCGGGUCGUAAAGUUCUGUUGUAAGGGAAGAACAAGUGCCGCAGGCAAUGGCGGCACCUUGACGGUACCUUGCGAGAAAGCCACGGCUAACUACGUGCCAGCAGCCGCAGUAA
This 524-nucleotide ribosomal RNA is filed under the name uncultured bacterium. Its description in RNAcentral is "partial 16S ribosomal RNA". It matches the Rfam family "Bacterial small subunit ribosomal RNA", at positions 28 to 523 of the family's 1533-position model. The record is from RNAcentral.